This 490-nucleotide ribosomal RNA is filed under the name uncultured bacterium. Its description in RNAcentral is "partial 16S ribosomal RNA". It matches the Rfam family "Bacterial small subunit ribosomal RNA", at positions 30 to 507 of the family's 1533-position model. The record is from RNAcentral.
AUUGAACGCUGGCGGCAAGCCUAACACAUGCAAGUCGAACGGUAACAGGAAGCAGCUUGCUGCUUUGCUGACGAGUGGCGGACGGGUGAGUAAUGUCUGGGAAACUGCCUGAUGGAGGGGGAUAACUACUGGAAACGGUAGCUAAUACCGCAUAACGUCGCAAGACCAAAGAGGGGGACCUUCGGGCCUCUUGCCAUCGGAUGUGCCCAGAUGGGAUUAGCUAGUAGGUGGGGUAACGGCUCACCUAGGCGACGAUCCCUAGCUGGUCUGAGAGGAUGACCAGCCACACUGGAACUGAGACACGGUCCAGACUCCUACGGGAGGCAGCAGUGGGGAAUAUUGCACAAUGGGCGCAAGCCUGAUGCAGCCAUGCCGCGUGUAUGAAGAAGGCCUUCGGGUUGUAAAGUACUUUCAGCGGGGAGGAAGGGAGUAAAGUUAAUACCUUUGCUCAUUGACGUUACCCGCAGAAGAAGCACCGGCUAACUCCGUG